AUGUGGAGACCGUUCAGGCAGCUCAUGCCCAAAGAGCAUUCCGGGCCUUCUGGCGGCCUCGAGGGCCGAACCAUCGAUGUCGGCAAUGUGAAGGUGCACGUCCGGGAAGCCAUUGCUGAGGGUGGGUUCUCGUGCGUGUACCUCGCCCGGGACCUGACCAACCCAGCAAAGAAGUACGCGCUCAAGCACGUCAUUGCCCAGGACAAGGAGUCGCUGGACCUGGUGCAGAAGGAGAUCACGGUGAUGAGGGCGCUCAAGGGGCACCCGAACGUGGUCACGCUCGUUGCGCACGCCAUAAUGGAUAUGGGCCGUGGGAGGGAGGCGCUUCUGCUGAUGGAGUUCUGCGAGAGAUCGCUGGUUUCUGCCUUGGACACUAGAGGUACUGCAGGGUUCUAUGAUGAGGAGCAGGUUGCUCUCAUCUUCCGGGAUGUUUGCAAUGCGGUGUUCGCGAUGCACUGCCAGACACCACCUGUUGCUCACAGGGACCUAAAGGCCGAAAAUGUGCUUCUUGGUGCUGACGGGGCUUGGAAAUUAUGUGAUUUUGGUAGUGUAUCAACAAACCAUAAGUGCUUUGAUAAACCAGAGGAGAGGGGCAUUGAAGAAGAUGUCAUCAGAAAGCAUACAACUCCUGCUUAUAGGGCUCCUGAGAUGUGGGACUUGUACAGGAGGGAAGUUAUUAGUGAGAAAGUAGAUAUAUGGGCUCUUGGAUGUCUCAUGUAUAGAAUCUGCUACUUAAAAUCAGCUUUUGGUUUAGAAUCAAAGCUUCAGAUCCUCAAUGGGAACUAUCGUAUCCCUGAAUUACCGAAGUACUGUUCUUCCAUUACAAGUCUGAUCGAAGAGAUGCUUCAGUCCUCUCCAGAUGCCAGACCAGACAUUACACAGGUAUGGUUUCGUGUUAAUGAGUUACUUCCUUUGGAGCUGCAAAAGGAUUUACCUGAUGGAUCCCCAUCUGGAUCAGCAUUUGAAUUGCAAACUACUGAGGAUGAAGGACCUUCUUCAUCACGGUCAAGAGACAAUGUGAGAAAUACACCUCCGAAAGGUCCUUCCAUUUUGAGGUCACAAGUUCCUGCUGAGAGUAAGGGUUCUGCAGGUGCAUUUUGGUCAACUCAACAUGCACAAGAACUAGCUUUUGCGGAUGACAAGGGGUCAGUUCUAGAUCAAGAGCCCAUACAUGAUGGCAUAGCAAAGCAACCUCAGGCAAAGAACCAGAACACAACACGGAAUGCAUACAGACAGUCUCUUUCUGCUUCUGUUGAUAGUUCUCCUGGGGAUUUUGAAAUAAGGUUUUCUCCAAAUGGUUCAGAAUAUGGCCUAGAGAAAACCCAAAACACUAAACCAGAUAACAAAACCAGUGCACAGACUGCCACUUUUAGCUCCUUUGUGGCAGACUUUGAUAAUGUUAAGGUGAGCUCAGAGGACAAUGCCGGUAGUUUAAACGCGGCAAGUAAAUUGAAAGGACAACAGCUGGAGGCCGAAGUAACUUUACUCAAGGAGCAAUUGAAGAUAGCAAACUUAGAGAAGGAAGAAAUCUCACUGAAGUUUGAUAGAUUGUCAGCCAUUUGCUCCUCUCAGAGGCGGGAGAUACAGGAACUUAAACAAGCGCUAGCCACAACUUCUGCACCAGUGCCAGUUAAGGAGUUGAAAGAAAAUUUGAAGGCUGAAUUCUCCCCACCCAGCACAAGCCUUGACACUCCGCCAAGGGAGAAGAUUGCAGGAACCCCACCAGAGCUCCGGCAAGGUCUAUUUACAUCAAGUCCAGGGACAGCAAGCCCAGAUCCCAAGCCAUGGUCCGCUUUCCCUGAAGAGCCGAAAGCUCAAGCAGCUGUAAAAAGUGCCCACCCGAGGUCGGUCCGAACUUUAAGGGCAUCACAAAGCAACAAAGCCGGCUCGCUUAAUCAGUCAAAAACAAACUCUGGUGCCGACCCCUUUGCCUUCGGUCAAGAUAGCUUUAAGGCUGUACCUUCUGGCACCGUGCCUUCUGAGAUGUCAAAUUUGGGGAAUGCUUCUCAGUCCCUCAACACUCUUAAGGCUGAAGUGGAGAAAGAUGCACCCUACCAACCAGCUGGAUGGACUGGGUUUUAA
RNAcentral lists this ribosomal RNA (2082 nucleotides) under Triticum aestivum (bread wheat). Its description in RNAcentral is "partial small subunit ribosomal RNA". The record is from RNAcentral. Lineage: Eukaryota; Viridiplantae; Streptophyta; Magnoliopsida; Poales; Poaceae.